RNAcentral lists this long non-coding RNA (2661 nucleotides) under Homo sapiens (human). RNAcentral's name for it is "HSALNT0378821". Lineage: Eukaryota; Metazoa; Chordata; Mammalia; Primates; Hominidae. The record is from RNAcentral.
CAGCCAACUUUAAUGGAGGACCUAGCAAGUGCCAGGCAGCAUUCUGAGCCCUGGAAUCCGGUGAUGAACAUGACAGACAAGAUUCCUGCCCCCAAGGAGCUGCACCUUAAUAAGUCCCGCAAUGAAGGAGACAGAACAUAAACAGAGGAAAAUACACAAGAUGCCAGCUUGUGAGAAGUGCUAGCAAAAAAAGACACAAGUAUGUCCAGAGAGUCUGAGGUGUAUACAGAUGGGGAAACUGAUGUUGAGAGAAGUUGAGUCACUUGUCCAAGGUCACACAGCAGGGUGAGGGUGGCCUCACACUGGUGUGUCCCAAAGGGCAUCUGGUGUCCAGUGUUGUUCUCUUGGUAGAGGUGAUGAGGCCUAAUGAAGCCAAGAAAGAUAAGUGGAUGUUUUCCUGGUGGGCAAUGGUCAAGGGAAGUGAAGGGAGCCCGGUGAGCAAAGCUGCUGUGUGUGAAACUGCCUGGUGUGGUCCAGGAGCUCAGUGUAGCCUGGGCCAAGCAUAUGAGCUGGGAGGGAAGGGUGGAGGGCCGGAUCCAGAGGGAGAGUGGGUUCUUGGUUAUGGAGCCACGGCAGGUGCGAGGCUGGGGAGGGACACUGGUAGGCUCCCGUUGAAACUCAGCCAUCUAGAGCCCAUUUUCCCGUAGGCCUCCAGCUCCUCAGCUGCAGGAAGGAGGCUGUAUGGAGUUCAGAGCACAGGCUCUUCAAUCGGACGGCACAGCCUGGAUACGUGGUGGGCUUAGCAAUUUGCUCUUGUGAGAUACAAUGCGAUUUCUCAGUAAAUUCUGCAUCUCAGCUUUGGCUUCAUCUGUGUCUGAGUCUCCAUCUCAUGCAGCUAGCUUAUCAUAGAUCAGUACAUUCACAGCAUUUAUUCGAUCCUUUACAAAAACAACAGCCCGGGUUCAAAUCCCAGCUCCACCACUUCCUCCCUGUGAGGCCCUGGGGAAGUAACAUAUCCACUCGGUACCUCUUGUAAAAUGGAGGUGGCAGUGACUUUUAUUUUUUAUUUAUUUAUUUUUAGACAGAGUUUCACUCUGUCACUCAGGCUGGAGUGCAGUGGUAUGAUCUCAGCUCACUGCAACCUCCACCUCCCGAGUUCAAGUGAUUCUCAUGACUCAGCCUCCUGAGUAGCUGGGAUCACAGGCAUGUGCUACCACACCUGGCUAAUUGUUUGUAUUUUUAGUGGCAACGGGGUUUCGCCAUGUUGGCUAGGCUGGUCUCGAACUCCUGUCCUUAAGCAAUCUUCUUGCCUUGGCCUCCCAAAGUGCUGGGAUUGCAGGCAUGAGUCACCACGCCCAGAUAGCAGUGAUUUUUCAAUGAAGUAAUAUACACGUGAUGUGGAGAACUUUUCUGGCACAGAGUAGGCACGCAGCAGGGACCACGUGCUAUCCUUGGGGGCAUCUGACCAGUCCCUACAGGCCAGUGUCACUCCCAGGCAAGUGCAACUGUUUACUGAAGGCAGCAUCGCUAGCGAAGGCAGGACCUGGAGAGGGCAGGAUCCCCGGUGAAGUCAGGUCCUGAGUUUUCCAGUGAACUCAGUGCCUUCCAUUCAGUGGGCGGCCGCUGGCCCAGAUGGAGCCGGGGGUGGAUUCUUGAGCUUGGUUCACCAAGAGAGGAGGGUACUGCACAAUCUCGGGAGCCAACCACAUUUUUUUUUUUUUUGUACAGCUCAUUUCACCAAUGAAAAGGCACUGGCAACAUCUCCUAUGCAGAUUAGCCGCAGCCUCCGGUGCCGAUUUAGCAAAGCCAUGAUUGACCAGAUCCGAGGCUCGCUGCCCUGUGGAGCUGCUUCCUAAUUAUGUUACUUCAAGCACCCAUCCCCAGGGUGCAGGUUAAAGUUAACCAGCACACUAAUGUACAUCAAGCAGUGUAGGCGGAGGCGCAGUUCUGAAGACAGUCACCAAUACGCGGCAAAUACCUAUUGUGAGAUCCAUCACCUGCUGGAUGGGCCUGCUCCCUCUACCACUCCCCUCCCACCUGCGCCUGGGUUGGGGAACUGGCCCCUUGCUAACUAGUCUAAUCCCCUUCAGUUGGUCACAAGCCCUGUGGAGGUGGGAAGGAGACAGGACUGGGAAGGCAGUGAGGGAGGGCACGAUGUGACUUCAGGGACAGCAGGAGCCUGAGUCUGGAGUUUGGGCUGCCCUAAUUUGCUGUGUGACCUUGAAAGCCCCUUCCCCUUUUAAGAAUGGGCUCAUCUCUUUUCUAAAGAAGACAUUCCAUGGGAGAGGUGGUGCCAUGGGAGUGUCACCUGGGAGGCUGCAGGCCUGCCCUAGGGCCCAGUCAUUCUGGAGGAAGCCCUUGUGGGCUAGGAGACGGCAGGCUCCGCCUCUGACCUAUUGGUUUCCCUCUGUCUGCCACUGUCCAGAGAUCAGAAUCCUGGGUCCUCUGGCACGGGCAUCCACUCUCACCAAGACAGACAGGAUGGAGCCUCUUCCUUAGGGCCUUGAGGCUUCACCACAGUCGUUGCAGUCUGGGGACUAUUGAACCAGACUGACUCUGGUCCUGGAGGGUGACCGUGGACAUCGACCCUCCCUGAACCUGAGUUCUCAUCAAUGGGAUGGAAAGAUCAAUAUGCCUGUCCUAGAUUUCUCAAAGGGCCGGUGUGGUGCUCAGUUGAGAGGUGCAUGUGCAGGACAGCGUGGGCAGCAAUAGGUGGGGGUG